This 255-nucleotide ribosomal RNA is filed under the name uncultured bacterium. RNAcentral describes it as "partial small subunit ribosomal RNA". It matches the Rfam family "Bacterial small subunit ribosomal RNA", at positions 26 to 285 of the family's 1533-position model. The record is from RNAcentral.
AGGACGAACGCUGGCGGCGUGCUUAACACAUGCAAGUCGAGCGGAAAGGCCCUUCGGGGUACUCGAGCGGCGAACGGGUGAGUAACACGUGAGCAACCUGCCCUUAGCUCUGGGAUAGCUCCGGGAAACCGGAAUUAAUACCGGAUAUUACACCGGCUGGCAUCGGCUGGUGUGGAAAGAUUUAUCGGCUAAGGAUGGACUCGCAGCCUAUCAGCUUGUUGGUGGGGUAGAAGCCUACCAAGGCGACGACGGGUA